ACGGAAGGCAGCAGUGGGGAAUAUUGCACAAUGGGGGAAACCCUGAUGCAGCGACGCCGCGUGAGUGAUGAAGUAUUUCGGUAUGUAAAGCUCUAUCAGCAGGGAAGAUAAUGACGGUACCUGACUAAGAAGCACCGGCUAAAUACGUGCCAGCAGCCGCGGUAAUACGUAUGGUGCAAGCGUUAUCCGGAUUUACUGGGUGUAAAGGGAGCGUAGGCGGUACGGCAAGUCUGAAGUGAAAUCCCAGGGCUCAACCUUGGAACUGCUUUGGAAACUGUCGAACUAGAGUGUCGGAGAGGUAAGUGGAAUUUCUAGUGUAGCGGUGAAAUGCGUAGAUAUUAGGAGGAACACCAGUGGCGGAGGCGGCUUACUGGACGAUUACUGACGCUGAGGCUCGAAAGCGUGGGGAGCAAACAGGAUUAGAUACCCUGGUA
This 434-nucleotide ribosomal RNA is filed under the name uncultured Pseudobutyrivibrio sp. Its description in RNAcentral is "partial 16S ribosomal RNA". It matches the Rfam family "Bacterial small subunit ribosomal RNA", at positions 341 to 792 of the family's 1533-position model. The record is from RNAcentral. Lineage: Bacteria; Bacillati; Bacillota; Clostridia; Lachnospirales; Lachnospiraceae.